UGCCAGCCGCCGCGGUAAUACGAAGGUCCCAAGCGUUGUUCGGAUUUACUGGGCGUAAAGCGUGCGUAGGCGGCAAGGUAAGUCAGAUGUGAAAUCCCGGGGCUCAACCCCGGAACUGCAUCCGAUACUGCCUUGCUAGAGUAAUGGAGGGGCAUCUGGAAUUCAUGGUGUAGCAGUGAAAUGCGUAGAUAUCAUGAGGAACACUAGUGGCGAAGGCGAGAUGCUGGACAUUUACUGACGCUGAGGUACGAAGGCCAGGGUAGCGAAAAGGAUUAGAUA
This 279-nucleotide ribosomal RNA is filed under the name uncultured bacterium. RNAcentral describes it as "partial 16S ribosomal RNA". It matches the Rfam family "Bacterial small subunit ribosomal RNA", at positions 506 to 784 of the family's 1533-position model. The record is from RNAcentral.